Molecule: ribosomal RNA, 320 nt
Filed under: uncultured eukaryote
Lineage: Eukaryota
Description: partial 18S ribosomal RNA
Rfam family: Eukaryotic small subunit ribosomal RNA
Source: RNAcentral
CCCCUAGAUGUUCUGGGCCGCACGCGCGCUACACUGAACAGUUCAACAAGUCUUAACCUUGGCCGAUAGGUCUGGGUAAUCUUUGAACGCUGUUCGUGAUUGGGAUAGACCUUUGCAAUUAUGGGUCUUCAACGAGGAAUUCCUAGUAAACGCAAGUCAUCAGCUUGCAUUGAUUACGUCCCUGCCCUUUGUACACACCGCCCGUCGUACCUACCGAUUGAAUGGUCCGGUGAAAUCUCGGGACGGCGGCUUGGUCGCUUGCGUCCGACUGCUGAAACUUGAUUAAACCAUNUNAUUUAUNGGAAGGUGAANUCGUANCA